Molecule: non-coding RNA, 26 nt
Filed under: Homo sapiens (human)
Lineage: Eukaryota; Metazoa; Chordata; Mammalia; Primates; Hominidae
Source: RNAcentral
CUGAUGCCGAGCCACAGCUGGACUGU